RNAcentral lists this long non-coding RNA (253 nucleotides) under Ricinus communis (castor bean). RNAcentral describes it as "long non-coding RNA (RCOM_LNC002066)". Lineage: Eukaryota; Viridiplantae; Streptophyta; Magnoliopsida; Malpighiales; Euphorbiaceae. The record is from RNAcentral.
UUCUCUCUCUCACGGGCUCGGCUUGCUCUGGCUUUUGAUGUUUUCUCCUGGACUCUGCUAAGCAAUCUCGAUUUGCUUUUCUGAUAAACCCGUCCGGGAAAAGGAGAAACAAAUAUGCUUCAGUUUGGGUCGGAUUUAACUGGGUAAACCACAAUUCUCAUGGCCGCCCCAAAUGCAAUUCGAGCGUCAGCUAAAGUAGGUUUAGUCGGAAACAAAGAUGCCCAUGUUGGGGAUAAUUUCUCUACUAGGCGGA